ACAAAACCAGGAAAAGACGACAUGGAAACACCGAGAGAAGGAAGGGAAAGAAGGGAACACCAGAAGAAGGAAAAUGAAGAGAAGUAACACUAGAAGAAGGCAUAUGAAGUAACACAAGAAGAAGGAAGUUGAAAAGAGUAACACAAGAAGAAGGAAUUUGAAAAGAGUAACACAAGAAGAGGGAAUUUGAAAAGAGUAACACAGAAGAAGGUAUUGAAAAGAGUUACACAGAAGAAGGUAUUGAAAAGAGUAACACAGAAGAAGGUAUUGAAAAGAGUAACACAGAAGAAGGUAUUGAAAAGAGUUACACAGAAGAAGGUAUUGAAAAGAGUAACACAGAAGAAGGUAUUGAAAAGAGUAACACAGAAGAAGGUAUUGAAAAGAGUUACACAGAAGAAGGUAUUGAAAAGAGUUACACAGAAGAAGGUAUUGAAAAGAGUUACACAGAAGAAGGUAUUGAAAAGAGUUACACAGAAGAAGGUAUUGAAAAGAGUAACACAAGAAGAAGGAAUUUGAAGAGAAAUAACACAAGAAGAAGAAAUGUGAAGUAACACCAGAAGGAAAAUGCAGAGAAGUAACACUAGAAAAAUGAAAAUGGAAAUGAAAAGAAUCAUCCACCUUUCGGCCCAAACCAACAUCACAAAAUUAUGGGCGAGUCUCUUCUGGGAGGAAAGCGGCUCGUUCAGACCCAGGAACACCAGAAAGGAUGAUAGAAACAUCAAGAAAAGGAAAA
Long non-coding RNA from Eriocheir sinensis (Chinese mitten crab), 733 nucleotides. RefSeq lists it as uncharacterized. NCBI's taxonomy places the organism in Eukaryota, Metazoa, Arthropoda, Malacostraca, Decapoda, Varunidae. The record is from RefSeq and is a predicted model, not a curated record. The transcript is spliced from 5 exons.